UACGUAGGGGGCAAGCGUUGUCCGGAUUUACUGGGCGUAAAGAGCGCGCAGGCGGUCUGAUAAGUCGGAUGUGAAAGCCCCCGGCUCAACUGGGGAGGGUCAUUCGAUACUGUUCGACUCGAAAGCAGGAGAGGGAAGUGGAAUUCCCGGUGUAGUGGUGAAAUGCGUAGAUAUCGGGAGGAACACCAGUGGCGAAGGCGACUUCCUGGCCUGUUCUUGACGCUGAGGCGCGAAAGCUAGGGGAGCAAACGGG
Molecule: ribosomal RNA, 253 nt
Filed under: uncultured bacterium
Lineage: Bacteria
Description: partial 16S ribosomal RNA
Rfam family: Bacterial small subunit ribosomal RNA
Source: RNAcentral